Molecule: ribosomal RNA, 468 nt
Filed under: uncultured bacterium
Lineage: Bacteria
Description: partial 16S ribosomal RNA
Rfam family: Bacterial small subunit ribosomal RNA
Source: RNAcentral
GACGAACGCUGGCGGCGUGCUUAACACAUGCAAGUCGAACGGUGAAAGAAGAGCUUGCUCUUCUGGAUCAGUGGCGAACGGGUGAGUAACACGUGAGUAACCUGCCCCAGACUCUGGAAUAAGCGCUGGAAACGGCGUCUAAUACCGGAUACGAGACAGGGCUGCAUGGCUACUGUCUGGAAAGUUUUUCGGUCUGGGAUGGACUCGCGGCCUAUCAGCUUGUUGGUGAGGUAACGGCUCACCAAGGCAACGACGGGUAGCCGGCCUGAGAGGGCGACCGGCCACACUGGGACUGAGACACGGCCCAGACUCCUACGGGAGGCAGCAGUGGGGAAUAUUGCACAAUGGGCGAAAGCCUGAUGCAGCGACGCCGCGUGAGGGAUGACGGCCUUCGGGUUGUAAACCUCUUUCAGCAGGGAAGAAGCGAAAGUGACGGUACCUGCAGAAGAAGCACCGGCUAACUACGUG